UUCAUUUACCACUUCAUUGUAGGAGAGUAUCACAUUGCUCGGAAAAGAAUUAAAGCAUUUACAUCUUGAGGCAAAAAUCUUUUAAAACGCAACUCUGGAAAUCAAGUUGAAAUCUCUGAUGUGAUUUAAAAAAAGAUGAAAACGUAAUCUAAUCAUCAUUUCUUGAAAAUACUUUGGAAAAGUAUGAAGCUCAAGUGACCACAAUUAUGGAUUCAAGAGACAAAGCAGGAUACUGGAUACAAUGAGAACAACAAGGAGAAGGUGGUCAUAAUAGUUUAUGGAGUUGUACAGACUCCUCAGAGGUGCCGACACCUAAAUUGAGUCCUGAAGUAGGAAUAGGACUUUUCGUGGGAGAUAAGGGCAAGAAUGGUAGAGGCAAUCGCUCUCCAUCUUACCAGACUGGGAAAGUACAAUACGCUACAUGCUUAUUUCAAAUGCAGUGGUUACUUCUGAAAAUGGCUUUACAUGAAAACAAAUCAUCUUGAAAUUUAUAACAAUUACA
This 502-nucleotide long non-coding RNA is filed under the name Equus asinus (donkey). RNAcentral's name for it is "lncRNA (ENSEASG00005025598.1)". Lineage: Eukaryota; Metazoa; Chordata; Mammalia; Perissodactyla; Equidae. The record is from RNAcentral.